Molecule: ribosomal RNA, 367 nt
Filed under: uncultured bacterium
Lineage: Bacteria
Description: bacterial SSU rRNA
Rfam family: Bacterial small subunit ribosomal RNA
Source: RNAcentral
GUAGGUGGCGAGCGUUAUCCGGAAUUAUUGGGCGUAAAGAGCGCGCAGGUGGUUGAUUAAGUCUGAUGUGAAAGCCCACGGCUUAACCGUGGAGGGUCAUUGGAAACUGGUCGACUUGAGUGCAGAAGAGGGAAGUGGAAUUCCAUGUGUAGCGGUGAAAUGCGUAGAGAUAUGGAGGAACACCAGUGGCGAAGGCGGCUUCCUGGUCUGUAACUGACACUGAGGCGCGAAAGCGUGGGGAGCAAACAGGAUUAGAUACCCUGGUAGUCCACGCCGUAAACGAUGAGUGCUAAGUGUUGGGGGCCGAACCUCAGUGCUGAAGUUAACGCAUUAAGCACUCCGCCUGGGGAGUACGGUCGCAAGACUG